GAGUGAAUGGAUGGAAAGAGAUGCCAGCUGAGCUCUGCCUACUUCAAGGUCACUAGAGGGGAGUAUAUGACAUCCUCUUGGAGACUUGAGCUGAGGAAAAAAAUAUCCCCCUGCAAGUUCAUCGUGGAUACCUCCGAGGACAACACACACACUAUCAAAGCCUGAGCCACACCGAUACUUGAGGUUGGACCAAAUGAUGUUUUCUUGGGAGAAGCAGAACACACCAAGCCGGCCUCCACGCAUGGUGGUGUCUAUGGUGACUCCGGAGUCGGCCACCAACUCAGAG
Molecule: long non-coding RNA, 286 nt
Organism: Pteropus alecto (black flying fox)
Lineage: Eukaryota; Metazoa; Chordata; Mammalia; Chiroptera; Pteropodidae
Exons: 3
Source: RefSeq, a predicted model, not a curated record